This 196-nucleotide small nuclear RNA is filed under the name Salix viminalis (osier). RNAcentral describes it as "U2 spliceosomal RNA". It matches the Rfam family "U2 spliceosomal RNA". From Rfam's summary of the family: U2 is a small nuclear RNA (snRNA) component of the spliceosome (involved in pre-mRNA splicing). Complementary binding between U2 snRNA (in an area lying towards the 5' end but 3' to hairpin I) and the branchpoint sequence (BPS) of the intron results the bulging out of an unpaired adenosine, on the BPS, which initiates a nucleophilic attack at the intronic 5' splice site, thus starting the first of two transesterification reactions that mediate splicing. Lineage: Eukaryota; Viridiplantae; Streptophyta; Magnoliopsida; Malpighiales; Salicaceae. The record is from Rfam by way of RNAcentral.
AUACCUUUCUCGGCCUUUUGGCUAAGAUCAAGUGUAGUAUCUGUUCUUAUCAGUUUAAUAUCUGAUACGUGGGCCAUCGGCCCACACGAUAUUAAAUUAAUUUUUCCAGGGUGAGUUCCCAUCACAGCAGCUUGCUGCUGGGGUUCUCGAGCGUCGCCUGUGUGUUGCACUACAGCACUGGCCUGGCGCACCCUCC